This 357-nucleotide long non-coding RNA is filed under the name Oncorhynchus kisutch (coho salmon). RNAcentral's name for it is "lncRNA (ENSOKIG00005002370.1)". The record is from RNAcentral. Lineage: Eukaryota; Metazoa; Chordata; Actinopteri; Salmoniformes; Salmonidae.
UUAGUACACACACACACCGUUCUAACUGGGCGGGUUAGUACACACACACACCCUUCUAACUGAGCGGGUUAGUACACACACCCUUCUAACUGGGCAGGUUAGUACACACACACACCCUUCUAACUGGGCGGGUUAGUACACACACACACCCUUCUAACUGGGCGGGUUAGUACACACACCCUUCUAACUGGACAGGUUAGUACACACUCCCUUCUAACUGGACAGGUUAGUACACACACCCUUCUAACUGAACAGGUUAGUACACACACCCUUCUAACUGGGCGGGUUAGUACACACACACACACCCUUCUAACCGGGCGGGUUAGUACACACACACACACCCUUCUAACUGGGUAG